RNAcentral lists this ribosomal RNA (452 nucleotides) under uncultured bacterium. Its description in RNAcentral is "bacterial SSU rRNA". It matches the Rfam family "Bacterial small subunit ribosomal RNA", at positions 340 to 786 of the family's 1533-position model. The record is from RNAcentral.
UACGGAAGGCAGCAGUGGGGAAUAUUGCACAAUGGGCGCAAGCCUGAUGCAGCCAUGCCGCGUGUAUGAAGAAGGCCUUCGGGCUGUAAAGUACUUUCAGUCGUGAGGAAGGUGUUAAGGUUAAUAACCUUAGCAAUUGACGUUAGCGACAGAAGAAGCACCGGCUAACUCCGUGCCAGCAGCCGCGGUAAUACGGAGGGUGCGAGCGUUAAUCGGAAUUACUGGGCGUAAAGGGCACGCAGGCGGUUAAUUAAGUUGGAUGUGAAAUCCCCGGGCUUAACCUGGGAAUGGCAUUCAAGACUGGUUAGCUAGAGUCUUGUAGAGGGGGUAGAAUUCCAUGUGUAGCGGUGAAAUGCGUAGAGAUGUGGAGGAAUACCGGUGGCGAAGGCGGCCCCUGGACAAAGACUGACGCUCAUGUGCGAAAGCGUGGGGAGCAAACAGGAUUAGAUACC